UUUAAAGGGACUUUGUGCAAGACAUUCUCAACCUGCGUCCCAAUCAGCACAUAGCUGUGGCCCAUGUGACAUCCUCAGGGCCAUACAAGUAGAAUAUAUAUUG
This is a non-coding RNA of Chelonoidis abingdonii (Abingdon island giant tortoise), 103 nucleotides long. Lineage: Eukaryota; Metazoa; Chordata; Testudines; Testudinidae. The record is from RefSeq and is a predicted model, not a curated record.